CCUACGGGAGGCAGCAGUAGGGAAUCUUCCACAAUGGACGAAAGUCUGAUGGAGCAACGCCGCGUGAGUGAAGAAGGGUUUCGGCUCGUAAAGCUCUGUUGGUAGGGAAGAAAGAUAGAGGGAGUAACUGGCCUUUAGUUGACGGUAAGUACGGAGAAAGGCAAGGCUAACUAAGUGCAAGCAGCCGCGGUAAUACGUAGGUGGCAAGCGUUGUCCGGAUUUAUUGGGCGUAACCCGAGUGCAGGCGGUUCACUAAGUCUGAUGUGAAAGCCUUCGGCUCAACCGGAGAAUUGCAUCCGAAACUUUUGAACUUGAGUGCAGAAGAGGAGAGUGGAACUCCAUGUGUAGCGGUGGAAUGCGUAGAUAUAUG
Molecule: ribosomal RNA, 370 nt
Filed under: uncultured bacterium
Lineage: Bacteria
Description: partial 16S ribosomal RNA
Rfam family: Bacterial small subunit ribosomal RNA
Source: RNAcentral